AGGGGCGUAGCUCAAUUGGCAGAGCACCGGUCUCCAAAACCGGGGGUUGUGAGUUCGAGUCCCACCGCCCCUGCCA
Molecule: transfer RNA, 76 nt
Filed under: Planctomycetaceae bacterium
Lineage: Bacteria; Pseudomonadati; Planctomycetota; Planctomycetia; Planctomycetales; Planctomycetaceae
Also listed under: 5 other names
Description: tRNA-Trp
Rfam family: tRNA
About the family: Transfer RNA (tRNA) molecules are approximately 80 nucleotides in length.
Source: RNAcentral